ACGAAAACGUUCCGCGAUGAGGAGUGGUUUAGGUGAUUUUGCAAUAUCUCCACAAUCUCUGUGAAUGUUUUAUUUGAGGGCUUCAGAGGGGCAGUCAGAUCUCUUAGCAAACUGUACGUUUUUGGACCAAUUAAACUCAACGCUGGUUCUCUCUUGUUAUCAGCAAUGUCGUUUGCAAUUAAGUACUGUUCCAGUCGUUCAAUGGUCAUAAUCUUCCUCUUACAGGGUCAUAAUCUUCCUCUCUUCCUACGAGCUCCAUCUGCAUUCGUGAUGCACACUGCAGCAGUGAUGGAUGCCGCGGUGUUCUGAUAAAGGAGGUCCGACCUGAAUCCCAGGGUUAAAAUACGGUUCCGGAAGGGCGUUGGGAAUUGCCCACCCUCUGUUCACCCCAGUGGAACUCUUUUUCCCUUUGAGGAGUUUAAAAUAGUGAAGUACAGUUAUACAUUGAUAUUGUGUACUGUUAUUGUUAAAAUAAUGCUUGUAUAUAACGUUAUCAUUAUUGUAGAAAUGUAAAACUUGAUGGUUAGCAGACUUGCCUUGGAGCUGGCCACUCCCCUUAUAGUCUCCGUGGAACGUCCCAUCAAUGAGUUGAUUUUUGGUUUAUGUACGUUCUGUUCCUGCACGUUAUAGCUUAGUUAUUUUUAAGUUAAUACUUUAUAGGACUGUCCGUUUUUCAAGUAAUUUAGCCCUUGGUAUAUUUUAAAGCACUUUGGUUUAUUUCCUUGUCAUAAUUUGUAUCAUCCAAGUUUUGAUAAAUAAAAACCCUUAUUGUUUAA
Molecule: long non-coding RNA, 776 nt
Organism: Salvelinus namaycush (lake trout)
Lineage: Eukaryota; Metazoa; Chordata; Actinopteri; Salmoniformes; Salmonidae
Exons: 3
Source: RefSeq, a predicted model, not a curated record